Molecule: RNase P RNA, 291 nt
Filed under: Methanosphaera sp.
Lineage: Archaea; Methanobacteriati; Methanobacteriota; Methanobacteria; Methanobacteriales; Methanobacteriaceae
Description: RNase P RNA component
Rfam family: Archaeal RNase P
About the family: Ribonuclease P (RNase P) is a ubiquitous endoribonuclease, found in archaea, bacteria and eukarya as well as chloroplasts and mitochondria. Its best characterised activity is the generation of mature 5'-ends of tRNAs by cleaving the 5'-leader elements of precursor-tRNAs.
Source: RNAcentral
GUAAGCUAAAGCACAGUUUACGGUAAUUUUUUACUGAGGAAAUUCCACACACCAUAUUGAAACAUGAUGCUCUUAAUUGGCAUACACCGAGAGGUGUGACCCUGUCAUAGAAACGAUACGGUAGACUAUAACUUAGCGAUAAUAAAUGAUACAAUUGGGUUGAUUAGCUUAACUUUAGUAAUCGAUGAAACGAACAAUCCAUGUGGUGCAAAAGUAAACAUUGUAUUAUACAAAGGUGACUUGCUUAGAUAAAUGCUGUGAUAAACAUGAAGUGGAUUACUCUUAGCAUGC